Molecule: long non-coding RNA, 881 nt
Filed under: Cyanistes caeruleus (blue tit)
Lineage: Eukaryota; Metazoa; Chordata; Aves; Passeriformes; Paridae
Description: lncRNA (ENSCCEG00000022787.1)
Source: RNAcentral
UCUAGCUGCACUGGUUUUGAAAAGUAAAAAAUGCUUUCUGAUUAUUUUGCCUUAACUGUCUUGAAGAAUGUUGGGGUUUUUUAUGAGACAGAUUUCCUUUGGAAUAACCUGUGUCUGGUUAGGAAGACUAAGGUGGAAAGAAAUGGCUCCAUCCCACUCAAGAUGACACAUGCAGCUCAAAAAAGUGGGAACUUUGAGCUGGUUGGAAGUCAAGCUGAACCACAACCUCCCUUGAGGUGGGGAGAAUGGAUGAGAAAUAGAAGACUGUGUCUUAAAAUGGAAUUCAAGACAAGGGGAAGAAACAGAGGGAAUCCACUCUGUUGGAAAUAUACUUUCUUCAAUUACCUGCUUUCAAAUGAAAGGAAAAAGUAGAUUGCUUAACCUGAAAAGGUGGCUGAACAACAGGUCAGUAGGUUCAAACCAAAGAAAUAACAAUGAGAUAGUUGCCAAAGGAAGUGAUUAUAUACAGAAGUAUGACAAACUCCAAAAUCAGUGACAAAUGUUUUCAGAGGAUAAAAGAAUAGAGAAUGUUUCUAAUAAGAAAUGCAAAGAUUAUUGUAUGUCUAAACUAAAUAUUACAGUCUAGCUAUUUAACAACUUUCUAGAAUUAAUUGGUGAUGGAUGAAGGGUCCAAAUCGCCUUGCCUGCUUUUCUGAGCCAAAUAAGGUUUAGUUGGAGUCAAUAAGAUUCACACAGCCACUCUUUUCUAGAAACUGAGAAACAUACUCUAACAUGAAAAUGAAGAAAUCAGAAUCAUUAAGUUUAGCAUGUAGUCUAAAAAUUAGUAUUUGUCACAAAAUGUAUAUUUAAAUCCAGAAGAAGGAAAUUAGUCAUUUUAUAACAUGAAUAAAAGGAAAACUUGUUCUAAUGAAGCUGUGGGA